UAUAAUAUUGUUUAACGAUAUAAAUAUAAUUUUGGGUGAGAAAUAAUUUUUAAAGUAUACGAGGAUAAAUGAUCCAUGUUAGCUGUUCAAAGGUUAAGUUAAAGAUCUACGGAAAACAACUAUGUAGAAAAAAAAGAAUCGUUAAAUAGAAUAAAUAAAUAUAGAACAAAAAAAUUUUAGGAUUAAUGUGAUUUAUGCAAUCAAAUCUGAUGAUUCAUCACGUUUCUAUUAAAUGUCUUUAAAAUUUUUAAGCGAAGCAUGAUAAUGUCCGUUAAACUCGUUCAACGAGCUUCGUUUUCUCGAAGUUACAUGAAACUGCUUUUAGACAUAACGAGGCGCACCGGUGCACUCGUGACCCUGAUUGACGAAACCGUUCCCAGAAAGCCAGCAAGCCAACGAUGCCGUCGCUUUUAUCUAUUUUUAUCUAUCACGGUACUUCUUGGAAUUUUGCAUUCGAUACUUUACAGAAGGAAAACAUACUUAGAAUCGCGAUUGCAAUCUAUCUCUUGUCAGAAUUUGCUUGUAGAGAAAGAAUCAGGAAAGAUACCAUUUGUAGAAGAUUUCGAAGCAAUUACUAUUAUCGACGGUAUAUAUCAUCGAAUCAAUACGAAUGGUUUCCACGAUAAAUUAACCGGCUGGUUAUUAAUCCUUAAUAACUUCAAUCAAAUAAAAUUCUCAAGAACAAUAAAUUAUUUCAAAUAUGUUAAUAGUUUAUGAUUAUUAUUUUCAGAAAAUUCUUUUUGUUAUAUUUAUUAUAUACAUUAAUCGACGAUUAUAAAAUCAAUGUAUUUUUUAAUGUCGUGUUUGUGACUUUCUAUCUCUAAUUUAAAUGCUUUUCAAAAUGAAAACCAAUAUAGAAAUACUAUCAGAUCAUAGCUAUCAAAAACGAUAUAUAAGUUAAAAAUCAAUUCACGUUCUCAUGAAAGUGUUUAACGAUCCCCAAAGGAAGAUAAAGUGUGAGUAAAAUCGAAUGUAACUUCGACUCAGUCGGUAAAACACGAAAAUUCUAAUAGAACGAACAAUAGUAACGGUAUAUUUGUAGCGCGAACAACAGUGCUGCCGAUAUGUGGGAAAAAAUCGGAAAAAAACGAUUCGACACGAUCCGCGAGUCGACGUUCGUGCACGGAACUCGCGACGAAGCCGCUCGCAGCGUGUUUCAAGGCUGAACCGCCUCUUCUCUACACUCUCUUCGACCCCUCCAAAGACGAAUCAUCUCCUUUCCCCUAACUUCACGUUCGAUUAUCGUUCUCUUUCUCUCUCUUUCAAUCUAUCGGUAGGUUUGCGUAUCGUUUGUCUCACUCCGUUCGUUUCCUCCGUUCGUUCUUUCUCGUUCAUAUUCGUCUGUAUUCGUCGGUCGCGCCACGGCAGUGCUAUCCUAUCGCAUGACUCUGCAGCGUUACGCAACUAACAGAAGGCUAGGUCAGCAGAUUUGCGACGAUUAAACUUAUGCAGUGUGACGACCGAGCCGUUCGACCUACUUCGUAAAAUAACGCGACGGUAGGCGUACUUACCGAAAUGUAGGACAACGGUAUUCACGCGCAGGAAGCAGCGCAAUUAUGGAUACACGAGAGAACGCGAGCGACCGCGCACGCGUGAUUCUAACCUCCGCAAUUGUGCCUCCUGACACGACUCUACCGUUGUGGAAAAAUACGGCCGCAUCGUCGUCGCAUGUUCCAAGCCAACUAUCCGCAUGCUUGAAAAUCUUCCGUUUCUUUCGAAUUUUCAUUAUCGAGAAAAUGGAUUCGCAUGGAUGCUUUUACUUGUGAUAUCUAAUAUUUAUAUCAAUAUUUAUUGAAUCGCGCUUGUUCUAAUCGUUUUUUUCUCUUUUUAUUCGAAUUUCAGAUGAACGUUUACUUAUUAUAUUAAUGUUAUAAGAGUAAUAAUAAUAAUAUCUCAAAAGUAUGAAAAUUUUCACGUUAUAAAAGAUAGAUUGUACAAAGAGGAGAGAAAAUAUUGGCAGCUAGCGAGAGGCGAGAAACGCGACCCUAAUAUUCAGCUCUGCGGAGAUGAACGCUAAAGUUGAUCUAGUAAAUUUGCGCGUCCGUUUCAUAGAUGCGUUGGCCCAGUUUGCAGUGGCUAUGAAAGCAAGGAGCACCACGAUGAGAGUUAGAGAGAGGGCGUGAUAUCUGUGUCAUCGCACAAGCGCCGUGCUUCAGCCGAGUACGAUUCACAGUGGUGUUCUUGGCCCGUUUGAGGGCCGUGUAUCCAACAAACGUUCCAUGUACAUUUUAUUUAUAAUAUUCGAACAUUCUGUUUUUCCCAAUAUUUUCUAUCUUAUCUUUACAAAUCGAGAUGAAUCUAACGAAGAAAUGAAAUAAGAAAGUUCGCGACCUUGACAAUAAAUAAUCGCGCUUUGUUU
RNAcentral lists this long non-coding RNA (2359 nucleotides) under Apis mellifera (honey bee). RNAcentral describes it as "uncharacterized LOC107965276". Lineage: Eukaryota; Metazoa; Arthropoda; Insecta; Hymenoptera; Apidae. The record is from RNAcentral.